Molecule: transfer RNA, 57 nt
Filed under: Ovis aries (sheep)
Lineage: Eukaryota; Metazoa; Chordata; Mammalia; Artiodactyla; Bovidae
Rfam family: tRNA
About the family: Transfer RNA (tRNA) molecules are approximately 80 nucleotides in length. Their secondary structure includes four short double-helical elements and three loops (D, anti-codon, and T loops).
Source: Rfam by way of RNAcentral
UGGCUCAGAGGGUAAAGUGUCUGCCUGCAAUGCAGGAGACCUGGGCUCAAUCCCCAG